AUAUAUAACUAAAAGCUAUGCCAUUUGCAUCAUCUUGUAGCCUGGUAUAAAUUUAUGAACUAGAUGUAUUGCCAGUUAUAAUGGCAUCAGUUUUAGAUUGAAAGACUUACUUUUAUAAAUAAGAUAUACUCAUAUUGAAAACUUGCAAACGUGUAAACUUUCCGAAGUUUGUUCGGAAUUCAAAUUAAAAAUCAACGUAACUCGAUACGAGCAAUGAGAUAAGCAUAUAAUACACAAGCUGAGCGUAUGAGUCUGUUGAGAAACGUGAAAAUAUUGUUGGCCAUUAUCUAGAAGUUUGAUUGAUUGAGAUAACUGAAAAUGUUUUGGUAAAUUCGAAAGCUCAAGAAUUACACAUUUGUAAUCAAGUACGAGAACUAUUUGCCGAAGUACUGUUAAAAAUAUUAAGAAAUUAUGGAAAUAAUUUAUUACAGAGUUCAGUUAUCAUCACCGUCUUCGUCAUCAUCCGAGAUAUAUUUUUUCGUCACUCGUUUUCUGCGUCCCCCACGGUUCUCCCCGCUUCUCUUACCUUUAUAUUUUAUUUUCAUUCUCACACUCGAAUCACCAUCGGAACCAUCUUCGCCAUCACCUGUGAUAAUAAAUUGAUCAAGAAUACAGAUGAGUUUAAGUUUGAAUGCGAGAAUAGAUCAAACCUUUGUCAUCCCCAUCUGAAUUGGUCCCAUCUGCACAGGACCACCUGGACCCAUGUGCGGCCCACUCUGAGCACUGUUUCCACCCAUCUGACUUGGACCACCAGGUCCCAUUGAUCCUCCUGAACCUUGUUGAGACACUGAACCUGGACCGCCUU
Molecule: unclassified non-coding RNA, 805 nt
Filed under: Athalia rosae (coleseed sawfly)
Lineage: Eukaryota; Metazoa; Arthropoda; Insecta; Hymenoptera; Athaliidae
Description: misc RNA ENSAEAG00005004227.1
Source: RNAcentral